This 893-nucleotide ribosomal RNA is filed under the name Athelia arachnoidea. RNAcentral's name for it is "partial 25S ribosomal RNA". It matches the Rfam family "Eukaryotic large subunit ribosomal RNA", at positions 56 to 962 of the family's 3401-position model. Lineage: Eukaryota; Fungi; Basidiomycota; Agaricomycetes; Atheliales; Atheliaceae. The record is from RNAcentral.
NNNNNNNNNNNNNNNCCCCUAGUAACNGCGAGNGAAGNGGGAAAAGCUCAAAUUUAAAAUCUGGCAGUCUKGGCUGCCCGAGUUGUAUUCUAGAGAAGNGCUUUCUGUGCUGGACCGUGUACAAGUCUCUUGGAACAGAGCGUCAUAGAGGGUGAGAAUCCCGUCUUUGACACGGACUACCAGUGCUAUGUGAUGCGCUCUCAAAGAGUCGAGUUGUUUGGGAAUGCAGCUCAAAAUGGGUGGUAAAUUCCAUCUAAAGCUAAAUAUUGGCGAGAGACCGAUAGCGAACAAGUACCGUGAGGGAAAGAUGAAAAGCACUUUGGAAAGAGAGUUAAACAGUACGUGAAAUUGCUGAAAGGGAAACACUUGAAGUCAGUCGCGUUGGCCAGAACUCAGCCUUGCUUUUGCUUGGUGCACUUUCUGAUUAACGGGCCAGCAUCAGUUUUGACUACAGGAAAAAGAUUAGAGGAAUGUGGCACCUUCGGGUGUGUUAUAGCCUUUAGUUGCAUACUGUGGUUGGGACUGAGGAUCUCAGCACGCGCAAGUUGUGCUUAGGAUGCUGGCGUAAUGGCUUUAAAUGACCCGUCUUGAAACACGGACCAAGGAGUCUAACAUGCCUGCGAGUAUUUGGGUGGAAAACUCGAAUGCGUAAUGAAAGUGAAAGUUGGGAUCUCUGUCGUGGGGAGCACCGACGCCCGGACCAGACCUUCUGUGACGGCUCCGAGGUAGAGCAUGUAUGUUGGGACCCGAAAGAUGGUGAACUAUGCCUGAAUAGGGUGAAGCCAGAGGAAACUCUGGUGGAGGCUCGUAGCGAUUCUGACGUGCAAAUCGAUCGUCAAAUUUGGGUAUAGGGGCGAAAGNCUAAUCNAACCNNNNNNNNNNNNNNNNNNNNN